UAGAGACACACGGCCUGGAAGACAACCAGCACUAUCCACCAGACACAUUGAACGAGGCCUAAUAGGACCACCCGGCCCUAGUUAAGCCACCAGAUGGCUGGAACCACAUGGGUGGCCACAGGAAAGACCAAAAGAAGAACUGCUAGGGUGUGUCUGGUCCAAAUUGCUGACUCACAGAAUUGUGAGCAAAUAAAAUUGUUGUUUUACGCCACUAAGUCCUGGAAGUUGUUCAUUACACAGUAAUAGAUAACUGACAAAAGUGAGAGGGAAAAACAUGGAGAUACAUGUAGAACUUGAUUCAUAUCUCCCCUAGAAAAGAGUUUGAUGUGACUUGUAAAUAUACAAAUUAUCUCUCUCCUAUAGCUGCCCAAGAUGCCGAAAGAAGACCAAGGGCAAGACGGGGCCCCAGCCCCUGCUAUCUUGAAGCAACAGGCCAAGAAAGUGGUGAAUCCCCUGUUGAGUAAAGGCCUAAGAAUUCUGGCACUGGACAGGACAUCCAGCCCAAAAGGGACCUCACCCACUUUGUGAAAUGGCCCCACUAUGUCAGGCUGCAGCAGCAAAGAGUUAUCCUCUACAAGAGCCUAAAAGUGCCUCCUGUGAUGAACCAGUUCACCCAGGCCCUGGGACCACCAAACAGCUACUCAACUACAUAAGCUGGCCCAUAAUACAGACCAGAGACAAAGCAAGAGAAGAGGCAGAGACUUGGCCCAGGCUGAGAAGAAAGCUGUUGGCAAAGGGGAUGUCCCCACUAAGAGACCACCUGUCCUUCAAGCUGGGGUUAACACCGUCACCACCUUGGUGGAGAAGAAGAAGGCUCAGCUGGCGGUGACUGCACAUGACGUGGAUCCCAUCAAGCUGGUUGUCUUCCUGCCUGCCCUGUCUCAUAAAAUGGGGGUCCCUGACUGCGCUGUCAAGGGAAAGGCAAGACUGGUUCACAGGAUGACCCACACCACCAUCACCUUCACACAGAUUAACUCGGAAGACAAAAGGGCUUUGGCUAAGAUGGUGGAAGCUAUCAGGACCAAUUACAAUGACAGACACGAUGAGAUCUGCUGUCACUGGGGGGGCAAUGUCCUUGGUCCCAAGUCUGUGGCUCACACUGCCAAGCUGGAAAAGGCAAAGGCUAAAGAACCUGCCACUAAACUGGAUUAAAUGUACACGGUUGAGUUUUCUGUACAUAAAAAUAAUUAAAAUAAUACAAAUUAUCCUUUGAAAAAUAUAUAAAUUAAUAAUAUACACAACUCAAAUGUUUGUGUUUAAAAUACUGGUUGAGAUCACCAUCUUAAUUUGAAUAAAA
This is a long non-coding RNA of Homo sapiens (human), 1297 nucleotides long. The record is from Ensembl. Lineage: Eukaryota; Metazoa; Chordata; Mammalia; Primates; Hominidae.